AGUGACCGUUUCCUGGGACGCGAGACUCCUCUCAACGCUCAGGCCCGAGACGCUCCCGCGUCGCCACCUCUCCAGGACCGAGCCAGUGUAGCGAGAGGCUGGACCCCUCGGUCCCAGCCUUCCUUCCUGGUACAGCUCCCAGACCAGCUCUCAGCAGCCCCCUCUGGCGCCCGAGACCUACAGGAAAGUUGCUCAGAGCGGUGGAGGGGCGUCAUCGCCUCCUAGCAACGCUCCUAGCAACCGGAUAACAUCUGCUCCCUUUGGUCCAAUGCGCGCCUAGAAAAGCCGCGCGCCCGCCUCGCGUUCUGAGCCCGAGCGAGAAGCGCUUCAGAGAAGGAGGGAUCGACCUGCAGGAGCCGGCCGCCCCGCCAAGCAGCAGCCGCUGUCGCCGCCCGCCGUCGCGUCGCCGCUGCCGCUGUCGCUGUCAGAGCCCGUCCGAAAAGAGUGACACCUUCGAGAAAAACAGGACCUACGGAACAGUUGCACACGCAGUCUGCGGGAUCCCUGGCCACCCUUCAUGAGCCGGAGGCUGUGAGACAUGCUCCAUGUGCCAACGGGAGUUCUCAGCAAAUCUUCUGAGGCUGUCCUAGGCAGACCCUGUUCGGACUGAGUCAGCAUUACCAGCUUAUCCAAGAGAAGUACUAUCAUAUUCCUUAACAACGUCGAAAGUAGCCUACUUUAAGAGGAAAUAUGCAGAAGAAGAAGAUUUACAUCAAGAUUACCAUGGGUAUUUUCCAAAACACCUGAUAUUACCCGAAGACAGGACUUGUAUCCUCAAACUUUCUCUGGAGAAGCUCAGGUUUCUUGAAGACCCAGAAACCUACUUAAGAAGGUCUGUGUUAAUUAACAAUUUGCUGAGGAAGAUACACCUAGAGACAGAGAAAGAGAACUAUGAAUACUUUAAGGAAGCUCCCUGCUAUAAGACUGCUUAUUCUGAUACAAGAAAACGGCUGAAGUUUAUGGUACAGGAGUGCUGUUCCCAGUCUCUCUACUAUGAAGAGCUGCAUUCCUACCACAUUGUGCCUUACACUUCGGAGAGUACCAUCUAUGGGGUGGGCUACACUGGUGACCACCUGGAGCAAAAUUCUCAGUUGCUUAUUUAUAAGAUGAAUUAAAGUAACUGUUAAGUUCAUUGCUAUUUUGUUUCUAAAUGCCUGAACUGUUUAUAGUGAAGAUGUUAAUACAAAACACUAAUUGCCAGUGCCCUUGAUCUCAGUGAUGAGAUGCAUGCUGAAGCAAGGGGAGAGAACCAUGGGUAUUACCCAGCAAUCCUUAGUGCCAUCACAUUGAAUGGAAAAUAGACCCCCUUUAUCACAAAGCAGUGGUUUGAUGCAUUAGAAGAAAGGGUUUUUGUUGUUGUUGUUUGUUUUUGUUUUUUUUUUUUUUUUUUUUUUUUUUUUUUAUAUAGAAAGGGGUUGAUCUGUGGUGGACCUGUUAGAUUAAAAUUCUUAAGCCACUCCCCACCUGAGUUCUGCCAUUCUUAUUGAGAAGUAGCAAAAAAAAAAAAAAAAAAAAAGAAAAAGAAGAAAAAAGAAAAAAAAAGCAUAUUAAAUUGAUAAUGCUGUGACCCUGAGGAUUAAGGGUGGAAUGAAUCUAAUUUUCUUUACAUGAUGAGAAUCGUUCUUUCAGAAAUGGUUUGGCUUGUCAAACACUGUGCCAAAUGAUUGUCUGUCUUUAGCAUCCUUUAGCCGUGAGUGGCAGCUCAAGAUGGGGCUAGCAUACACUGCAGCUUCUCUGCUGAUUGUAACAACUGGAGUCCCUCAAGCUCAUCCACUUUUUGUUGUUGUCCUUGUUGAUUAUUCUUCCUUGGUCUUAAUAGACUUUCUCUUUAAGAAUCACAUGUAAUAAAUUAGCAUUGCAUAUAGGAUCAUCCUUAAGUUCUAUAGGUUGAUUAAGAUUUGUGCUGGGCCAUUAAGAGUUUGAAUUUUAUUUAUGAUCUUUUUUUUUUUUUUUAUAGGCUGUGAAGCUCAGGAAAAGGGUAGGCAGGCAAAAUAUGCUUUUAAUAGGUUAAUGAUUUUUUUUUAAAAAACCUGCUCUGGAAAGUUGGUGAGAAUAAUAGAAUUUAGACAUGAUGUUAUUUCUUCACCUUGCUAAGAGCUCACGCAAGGUGCCGGGAUGAAGCAUUGCACUGAUUUUUGUCUAUUAGUCCAGUAGUCAAUCACUUGCCACUUCACAAAAUGUGUGGGAAUGCCUUUGGGGAGAAUUUUAGAUAAGUUCUUAUGUUUUACGGUUUGGAGGGUGGUGACUUAAUGAGUUGGGUAGACUUAUGAAAUUGCUGGAAGUGAUUCAUCGUGUUCUUGAGGUUUGAGUGAGACGUCUGACUCCAGGCUCUGAAGUUGUCCUAUGGAGCGUUUCUUUUAAAGAACUGUUAUUGAUAAAAUAGAUUGGGAAAACUAGGUGCCAAAGGUGUAUUUAAGAAAAUACCAAAGACUCAAGGAUGAGUGUUAGGGAGGCUGUGAAAGUAAAGCUAGCAAAGACAAGAUUCUAAGCCAAGGACUGCACAGGGGAUGUGGAAAGUGUUAAAGGCUUCAUGAGAAUUUGCUUACUGGUCUGCUUUCUGAGCUUUGUUCACAAUGAUGACAAACAGGGAUACGAUACUAAAUUAAGAUAUCAAGUAUUUGCAAUUCAAAUAUGGCAGCUGUCAGCGCGGUGUCAUCCCCAGCUGAAGUACAGACUUGUAAACAGGCUGACCAUAUCUCAUUUAGACACCACUUGUAGUCCUUGUGAUGCAUCACCAAGGUGAUUUGUACAAAGAAUACGGGGCCCCUGACUAGACUGCAUGGUGAGAGACUGAAGCAAAAGACUAUGCGCAUGCUUGAUCCAAGUGCCAGGUUUAUAUUUAAUUUCUUAAUCAGCAUUAAGUUAAAGUGCUUUAGAAUAAAGUACAAUUUAAAAUAGAGGUAAAGACUCACAGACAAGUCAGUGUGUAAUGGUGAGAUGUCUUUGAAACCCACAUAUAAAUAUUUAAAAAUUAAUUGGAGAGCAAGAUUUGGCAUAGAUGUUUAAUACUUUUAUUUCCUUGCUUCCAAGAGGCCGUAUUUCUCAGAAAAAAAUUCUUUCAAAAAUAUUUAUUUAAAUUUGAGGCUAGCCUAAAACUCUAAACUUGACAAGAUAAGAAUGCCAUAAGUCUAGAGACAGAAUCGGUAUUCAAAGCUUUUUAAGUUUUCACUGAAAUGAACACCUGAUGUGGCUUACAACAGUGCCUCUAAGAAGAGGCCACCAACCCUAACAGGUGUGACUUCUCAAAAAGCACAUGUUUAAAUUGUCUAAGUAUAGAAAUACACAUAUUUUGGGAUAGAAGAGAAAGGAAGAGGAAAAGAGUAGUCAAGAAAGUGUAAAUUUGUAACAUCUCCUGUAUGUCAGAAUCCUUAAACAAAGCCAGAACUCUGGGACAAAGAACCAGUAACAUAUGUAAAAAUCCAUUGUAUUUCAAGACAUCAUUACCUGAAUGCUCUGAUCUAUACCUUCAUAUAUAAGCUGUCUUAGAAGCCAGUGGUAUUUGUGAUUCUACUUUUAUCUAAAUAUUCAUUGAUUUAACAACAGAUUAUUUUGAAAAUAUUUUUUAGUGCAAAUAAUUUUCCCCCAGUAAACAGCUCAUAGAUAAGGAGUUGACAAGUGCUAUCUUGAUUUUUCCUUUAAGCUUGUAUUUAAAUUCUGAAGACUUGCAUGAGUUAGCCCAUGUAUGGCUGUGAUUUUAGCAGGGCCAGCUAGGAUACAGGGAGAUCCCAUCCAGGUUUGCUCUGCUAAUGACUUUUCUUCCACUGUGGAUGGUGCAGGCACCAGUUAAAGCUUUUUUGACUUUAGGCAUCUUUGAUCUGGUGACAGAAGCUAGCCUUAAAAUAGGAAACUGAGACAAGAAAUCUGAGUGUCACUGUACUCUUCUCCUGAGGGUUCCAUAAGAUCCCUGGCAAAAAAGAAAACAUACACACACAUACCGCACA
Long non-coding RNA from Meriones unguiculatus (Mongolian gerbil), 3941 nucleotides. RefSeq lists it as uncharacterized. NCBI's taxonomy places the organism in Eukaryota, Metazoa, Chordata, Mammalia, Rodentia, Muridae. The record is from RefSeq and is a predicted model, not a curated record. The transcript has 4 exons.